GAAAGCGUAGCUCUGAUGGUAGAGCGCUCGCUUUUCAUGCGAGAGGUUCGGGGAUCGAUACCUUGCGCCUCCA
Molecule: non-coding RNA, 73 nt
Organism: Trichonephila clavipes
Lineage: Eukaryota; Metazoa; Arthropoda; Arachnida; Araneae; Nephilidae
Source: the annotation of a GenBank genome assembly